GCCAGACUCCUACGGGAGGCAGCAGUGAGGAAUAUUGGUCAAUGGGCGCGAGCCUGAACCAGCCAAGUCGCGUGAGGGAAGACGGUCCUAUGGAUUGUAAACCUCUUUUGUCAGGGAGCAAAGGGCGCCACGUGUGGCGUUUUGCGAGUACCUGAAGAAAAAGCAUCGGCUAACUCCGUGCCAGCAGCCGCGGUAAUACGGAGGAUGCGAGCGUUAUCCGGAUUUAUUGGGUUUAAAGGGUGCGUAGGCGGGCUGUAAAUACGGUGUGAAAUGCCGGGGCCACACCCCCGCCGAGCCGUUGAAACUGGCUGUCUUGAGAUGUCGAGAGGUAUGCGGAAUGCGCAGUGUAGCGGUGAAAUGCUUAGAUAUUGCGCAGAACUCCGAUUGCGAAGGCAGCAUACCGGCGGCGAUCUGACGCUGAGGCACGAAAGCGUGGGGAUCGAACAGGAUUAGAUACCCCUGUAC
Molecule: ribosomal RNA, 465 nt
Filed under: uncultured bacterium
Lineage: Bacteria
Description: bacterial SSU rRNA
Rfam family: Bacterial small subunit ribosomal RNA
Source: RNAcentral